AGCUUUGCACUCUUUCUCAUUUGUCAAAACGCUCAGUGCUGAGCUCUAUCAAAUGCAAUCACUGUCUUUUGCACAAAUCUAUUUCCAUGCCGACUAACAAAGCUGUGAUUUUUUUUCCCGACGUAGCUGUAUCAGGGCAAUGUGACGUCAUCGACUGUAUGUGACUGUAUCCAGCGCGUGCCGCGGAGCGCGUGCUCUAAGCACAUGGAAAAGGGCUCGAGACAAAGUGCCCAAAGAAAAACCACACACCUGAAAUGGAAUAUCAGUUACAACUUAAUCAAAUCUGGAGCAAAAGGGACCUUCAGAACAGCUGCUAGUCAGCCUGUCAUUCUCUUGUUGGAAGCCUGAAACCGGAGCCACGAGGGAAUGGCAAACUUUUCAGGAAAAGACCUACUCAUUCUGCCCCCCGUGAGCCGACAACUUCUUGACGAUGCCGCUUUGCUGUGAAGAGAUGGAGAUCUGCUGUUGCCUGCGGACAGCUGGCUUUUACACAAGGGGUGUAAAGAUGUGGAAGAGGGUAAGGAAUGCUCUGGCAUUUGGAGUUCAAUAUCAAUAUCAGGCACCGUACUAUUUUUAUUUCUCACAAAUAUGUUAUAAUGCAUUUCUACAUGCAAUUUUAUCUAUAUUCAGUAUUCAGCUGUUGAAUCUGCAAUGUAACCAAAUUAAAACUCACAAAAACUUUAAAUAUUGUACUAUUAUUAUAUACUAAUAUACUUGUGAUCUUCAGUCCAAUACUUAUAAAUCAUUUAUAAAUGAUAAAAUGAUGAUUGCAAUUUGGGGAAUUGGUACUGGGUGCUUUUUGUGCGAUUAUUUACAUGCAUCUUGCCUUUACAAACAUACUUAGUUUGAAUAGGUACACAGACUAAGCCAGUUUUGUUGUAAUUGGCAUCUGCCAACCCUAUUUGGCUGAAUGAAUAAUAAACUUUUUCUAUUUUAAAA
This is a non-coding RNA of Pimephales promelas (fathead minnow), 939 nucleotides long. NCBI's taxonomy places the organism in Eukaryota, Metazoa, Chordata, Actinopteri, Cypriniformes, Leuciscidae. The record is from RefSeq and is a predicted model, not a curated record.